GGGCGGGUGGCGAAAUGGCAGACGCGACGGAUUCAAAACCCGUUGGGCAACCCCCGUGAGGGUUCGACUCCCUCCCCGCCCA
This 82-nucleotide transfer RNA is filed under the name Candidatus Dadabacteria bacterium. Its description in RNAcentral is "tRNA-Leu". It matches the Rfam family "tRNA". Rfam says of the family: Transfer RNA (tRNA) molecules are approximately 80 nucleotides in length. Their secondary structure includes four short double-helical elements and three loops (D, anti-codon, and T loops). Lineage: Bacteria; Pseudomonadati; Thermodesulfobacteriota; Candidatus Dadabacteria. The record is from RNAcentral.